Molecule: RNA transcript, 1148 nt
Organism: Neltuma alba
Lineage: Eukaryota; Viridiplantae; Streptophyta; Magnoliopsida; Fabales; Fabaceae
Exons: 3
Source: RefSeq, a predicted model, not a curated record
UUGGGCUAGCCGCUGAAGCUCUCCAGUCCCCUUUCUGUUCUAGAAGACGCCAACUCUCCAUCUUGCUCUGCUCUCACCCUCCUACCUCCAUUCCCACUUCUUAGUCCGUGCUCCCUGGUGCCGUUCACUGUCCCACUCCGAGCUGGCAUGGUUGGACCUCACGAGCCAUAGCAUCGCUGUCGUUCGCUCUCUAGCUCCGAGCUCGCACCGUCGCGCACCAUCCCAGUCUCCCAGAUCUAAUCCCAGUCUCCCAGAUCAAAUCUCUCCUCCUCCUUAGUAGUCCUCAUCUGGCUCCUGCGUCGUCAAUAGGUAAGCUUUUUGCUCCUGUCGUUCACUCUCUAGCUCCGAGCUCGCACGGUCGCGCACCAUCUCAGUCUCCCAGAUCUAAUCUCUCCUCCUCCUUAGUAGUCCUCAUCUAGCUCCUGCGUCGUCAAUAGUUUUUAAUCCUCUAUCAAAUCUUAGUUCGAUGUCAUACCUAAAGAUGUCUCGCAGUUGUCCUCUUCUUCCUGUUGACCAAGAAGAACACGAACGCUCCAACAUUGCUUGCGAGAUAAGUUCUAGGUCAUCCCACCAGAGUGGCGGAGUGAUUCCCAAGUACAAGGUCACGGAUUCAAUGGGUUCUCUUGGGAUUGCAUUCAAAAAACUGAUCAAACUCAAGCUGCCUUCCAAGUUGGAAAGUGAUGCAGCAAGAUUCAUAAUCUACAAUAAAGAUUUUCGUAAGUUUUUCAUAUUGAUUAGACGCAAACAAAACGUCCUUAAAUUCCUCAAGAAUUACAGCAGAAAACAAUUCCUCAAAUUCCUCAAAUAUCUCAAGAGGAGAAAGAGAAAUAGCAGAAGAAAAGGCCGGGCUUGGGUUCUCUCAGAAAGCUUUCUCAACGUCCCUCAGAAGCCCUAAAUCAUGUCCGUCCAAUCAAUCCAAGAGGUUAGAAAGAAACACCUCAUGCACCUUUUAAAGUUGCAUGGCCACCCUUUGUAUUGUUAUAAUCAUCGGGUUAUCUCUGCCUUUUUUAAAGCUUCCGAACAUUGUUGCAAUCCCUGCACCAAAAGAAGUAGGUGUUAUCUUUGAAAAAUGCUAAAUGCUCUGUUUGGAAAAUGCUAAAUCUUUAAAGAAAAAUUACACACAGGUCCAGAAGACAAUAUCUUGAAAA